UGCAAGUCGAACGAACUCUGGUAUUGAUUGGUGCUUGCAUCAUGAUUUACAUUUGAGUGAGUGGCGAACUGGUGAGUAACACGUGGGAAACCUGCCCAGAAGCGGGGGAUAACACCUGGAAACAGAUGCUAAUACCGCAUAACAACUUGGACCGCAUGGUCCGAGUUUGAAAGAUGGCUUCGGCUAUCACUUUUGGAUGGUCCCGCGGCGUAUUAGCUAGAUGGUGGGGUAACGGCUCACCAUGGCAAUGAUACGUAGCCGACCUGAGAGGGUAAUCGGCCACAUUGGGACUGAGACACGGCCCAAACUCCUACGGGAGGCAGCAGUAGGGAAUCUUCCACAAUGGACGAAAGUCUGAUGGAGCAACGCCGCGUGAGUGAAGAAGGGUUUCGGCUCGUAAAACUCUGUUGUUAAAGAAGAACAUAUCUGAGAGUAACUGUUCAGGUAUUGACGGUAUUUAACCAGAAAGCCACGGCUAACUACGUGCCAGCAGCCGCGGUAAUACGUAGGUGGCAAGCGUUGUCCGGAUUUAUUGGGCGUAAAGCGAGCGCAGGCGGUUUUUUAAGUCUGAUGUGAAAGCCUUCGGCUCAACCGAAGAAGUGCAUCGGAAACUGGGAAACUUGAGUGCAGAAGAGGACAGUGGAACUCCAUGUGUAGCGGUGAAAUGCGUAGAUAUAUGGAAGAACACCAGUGGCGAAGGCGGCUGUCUGGUCUGUAACUGACGCUGAGGCUCGAAAGUAUGGGUAGCAAACAGGAUUAGAUACCCUGGUAGUCCAUACCGUAAACGAUGAAUGCUAAGUGUUGGAGGGUUUCCGCCCCUUCAGUGCUGCAGCUAACGCAUUAAGCAUUCCGCCUGGGGAGUACGGCCGCAAGGCU
This 876-nucleotide ribosomal RNA is filed under the name Lactiplantibacillus plantarum. Its description in RNAcentral is "bacterial SSU rRNA". It matches the Rfam family "Bacterial small subunit ribosomal RNA", at positions 56 to 895 of the family's 1533-position model. Lineage: Bacteria; Bacillati; Bacillota; Bacilli; Lactobacillales; Lactobacillaceae. The record is from RNAcentral.